Molecule: ribosomal RNA, 689 nt
Filed under: uncultured Actinobacteridae bacterium
Lineage: Bacteria; Bacillati; Actinomycetota; Actinomycetes
Description: bacterial SSU rRNA
Rfam family: Bacterial small subunit ribosomal RNA
Source: RNAcentral
GUGGCGAACGGGUGAGUAACACGUGAGUAACCUGCCCUUGACUCUGGGAUAAGCGUUGGAAACGACGUCUAAUACCGGAUACGAGCUGGGACCGCAUGGUCACCAGCUGGAAAGAACUUCGGUCAAGGAUGGACUCGCGGCCUAUCAGCUAGUUGGUGAGGUAACGGCUCACCAAGGCGACGACGGGUAGCCGGCCUGAGAGGGUGACCGGCCACACUGGGACUGAGACACGGCCCAGACUCCUACGGGAGGCAGCAGUGGGGAAUAUUGUACAAUGGGCGCAAGCCUGAUGCAGCAACGCCGCGUGAGGGACGACGGCCUUCGGGUUGUAAACCUCUUUUAGCAGGGAAGAAGCGAAAGUGACGGUACCUGCAGAAAAAGCACCGGCUAACUACGUGCCAGCAGCCGCGGUAAUACGUAGGGUGCAAGCGUUGUCCGGAAUUAUUGGGCGUAAAGAGCUCGUAGGCGGUCUGUCGCGUCUGCUGUGAAAACCCGAGGCUCAACCUCGGGCCUGCAGUGGGUACGGGCAGACUAGAGUGCGGUAGGGGAGAUUGGAAUUCCUGGUGUAGCGGUGGAAUGCGCAGAUAUCAGGAGGAACACCGAUGGCGAAGGCAGAUCUCUGGGCCGUAACUGACGCUGAGGAGCGAAAGCGUGGGGAGCGAACAGGAUUAGAUACCCUGGUAGUCCAC